This 200-nucleotide ribosomal RNA is filed under the name Phyla nodiflora. RNAcentral describes it as "5.8S ribosomal RNA". The stretch from base 23 to 178 matches the Rfam family "5.8S ribosomal RNA". From Rfam's summary of the family: 5.8S ribosomal RNA (5.8S rRNA) is a component of the large subunit of the eukaryotic ribosome. It is transcribed by RNA polymerase I as part of the 45S precursor that also contains 18S and 28S rRNA. Lineage: Eukaryota; Viridiplantae; Streptophyta; Magnoliopsida; Lamiales; Verbenaceae. The record is from RNAcentral.
UACGUCUCGUGAAAGUCAUAACGACUCUCGGCAACGGAUAUCUCGGCUCUCGCAUCGAUGAAGAACGUAGCGAAAUGCGAUACUUGGUGUGAAUUGCAGAAUCCCGUGAACCAUCGAGUCUUUGAACGCAAGUUGCGCCCGAAGCCAUUAGGCCGAGGGCACGUCUGCCUGGGCGUCACGCAUCGCGUCGCCCCGCUCUC